GUUCACGCUUCACGAGACACAACUCAACUUUAUGUCGGAGGACGAUAAAGAAAAACCAUAUCCUUUCACCAGCAGUAGAAAAAAAACAGAGGAGAAAACGGGACAAAAAAAGGAACCACACGGCACGCAAAUAUUCUACAUACCUUAGCUUCUCGGAUCAAGCGGCCACCGGUGAGAUUAACCUGUUCAACCUUCGGAAUGCGUUCCACCGUUUCGCCGAGCAUCGACUGUAUAUGGAUGUCGAUCCCAGGGCACAAAACGGAAUACACACACAACCGGAUGGAACAUAACACAUACGCGUACAUACACAGGGAAAGGGAAGAAACCGAUGUUUCCGGCGACGCAGAGUGAAGUUUCCUGCUCGUAACUGAUACCACGCAUCUUCAAGAUUCGAAAGGUAUGGCUGCUAUACAAAGCUAA
Molecule: long non-coding RNA, 420 nt
Organism: Anopheles merus
Lineage: Eukaryota; Metazoa; Arthropoda; Insecta; Diptera; Culicidae
Exons: 3
Source: RefSeq, a predicted model, not a curated record